RNAcentral lists this ribosomal RNA (2824 nucleotides) under marine metagenome. Its description in RNAcentral is "eukaryotic LSU rRNA". The stretch from base 390 to 2824 matches the Rfam family "Eukaryotic large subunit ribosomal RNA", at positions 1 to 2526 of the family's 3401-position model. The record is from RNAcentral.
CCUUUCAACGAUGGACCUCUUGGUUCUCGCAACGAUGAAGAACGCGGCAAAAUGCGAAAAUGUAGUAUGAAUUGCAGAAUUUAUUGAAUCAUCGACUCUUUGAACGCACAUUGCGCCGAAUUGACCCAGUUAAUUUGGCAUGCUAGGCUGAGUCUCAGUUCUCUAACACAACACGUAAUACAAAUCGUGUCAAAUGGUCGUUUUUCAUUUUGUGAAAAUCGGUCGAACGUGUCGGAAAACUCGCACGCACGCAAACUCGUUUUAACUUCGGUCGAACGUGUGUCGAAAGGGUAGUUCUAGUAACGAAACUUUCGCAUCGGGAAAGCCGGAAAGAGUGAGCUGUCUAAGCGAGGGGGGAGUUGACAACAACACACCCAUUCUCACACACUUGAGCUCAGUUCUAUGCAAGACUACCCGCUGAAUUUAAACAUAUUACUAAGCGGAGGAAAAGAAACUAACAAGGAUGGCCUUAGUAACGGCGAGUGAAGCGGUCACAGCUUAAUCGACAAUCCCGUCGCAUCUGGCGGCUGGGAAUUGUAGUCUUGGCCUUUGAACGGCGCUGGAUGAUGGGUAAUUCGAUGGAAAUCGAGGUCGUAGAGGGUGACAGCCCCGUGUGUCUGUCGUUCCGGCGCCAUAGUUCACUGGUUCACCGAGUAGCGUUCCUUGGGAAUGGAGCGUGAAGUGGGAGGUGAUAUCCUUCUAAAGCUAAAUAUUGGCGAGAGACCGAUAGCGAACAAGUACCGUGAGGGAAAGAUGAAAAGCACUUUGGAGAGAGAGUUAAACAGUAUGCGAAAUCGUUGGAAGCAAGCGAAUCAGUGGGUUUGGGCACGGCUCUGGGUUCCGGGCGCUCCGCUAGCUGUGUGCCGCUUGCGGCGCCAGCUGGCUUGCCAGCGCUCGGUCCUGGUGCGAGGUUUUGGUGCCUGGCUCCGGCCAGCCUUCUGAUCCGACCCGUCUUGAAACACGGACCAAGGAGUCUAAUAUGUGUGCGAGUGCUCGGGUGUCAAACCCCAGCGCGAAGGUAACCCGAUAACGCGUUAGACCUUUACUGGUCGCACCGCGGGUAGUGUGUUUAUUCCCUAACAAGAGCACGUAUGUUGGGACCCGAAAGAUGGUGAACUAUGCUUGUGCAGGGCGAAGUCAGGGGAAACUCUGAUGGAAGCUCGAAGCGAUACUGACGUGCAAAUCGUUCGUCUGACAUGAGUAUAGGGGCGAAAGACUAAUCGAACCAUCUAGUAGCUGGUUCCCUCCGAAGUUUCCCUCAGGAUAGCUGGAAUCCAUCAUGAGUUACAUGAGGUAAAGCGAAUGAUUAGAGUUCUUGGGAUUGAAACAAUCUCAUUCUAUUCUCAAACUUUAAAUGGGUGUGACGCGGGACUUUCUUUUUUGAAGUGCUGCAUUGAAUCUGGGUUCUUAGUGGGCCAUUUUUGGUAAGCAGAACUGGCGAUGUGGGAUGCUCCAGACGCUCGGAUAAGGUGCCAAAGUGCUCGCUCAUUCAGAUACCAUAAAGGGCGUUGAUUGAUUUAGACAGCAGGACGAUGGUCAUGGAAGUUGAAAUUCGCUAAGGAGUGUGUAACAACUCACCUGCCGAAUCAAUUAGCCCCGAAAAUGGAUGGCGCUCAAGCGAGUCACCGAAACCGGGCCAUCGGUCUUCCUGACAUAGAGACCGAUGAGUAGGAGGGCGCGGCGGUUGCGUCGAAGCUUAUGGCGUGAGCCUGGGUGAAGCAGCCGCUGGUGCAGAUCUUGGUGUUAGUAGCAAAUAUUCAUAUGAGAACUAUGAAGACCGAAGUGGAGAAAGGUUCCAUGUUAACAGCAGUUGGACAUGGGUUAGUCGGCCCUAAGGCAAGCCGUAUGGGUUUUACAUGACGGCCUUGCGCCGUUAUUGCCAAAAGGGAAUCAGGUUAAUAUUCCUGAACCACAUGUUCUGGCGCGCGGACGGCAACGUAAACGAACCCGGCGACGGCGGCCAAAAUCCCGAGAAGAGAUUUCUUCUCUUUUUAACAGAAACUUGACCCUGGAAUGAGUUUGCCUCGAGAUAGGGUUACGUUUCCUGGAAAAGCAGCGUGCUAUUCGCGCUGUUUGGUGCAUUUUGGACGCCCCUUGAAAAGCCGGGGGAGCACAUGCGAUCAGAUCGUGUCCGUACUCAUAACCGCAUCAGGUCUCCAAGGUUAAAAGCCUCUGGUCAAUAGAACAAUGUAGGUAAGGGAAGUCGGCAAAUUGGUUCCGUAAGUUCGCGAUAUGGAAUGGCUCAUUAGGUUGGGCUGUUGGGCUCUUGAAGGAAGCCUUCUCGGCCUUUGGACUGCUGACUGUCCUGCUUCACGGCGGGACGGACGGACGGUCCUUUGGCUGGGUGGGUUGAUGGCAGGAGAUUGGGCGCUCUCGGGUGCCCAUUUCCAGCAGCGGUAAACAACUAAUAGUGAACUGGAGCUGACCACAGGAACCCGACUGUUUAAUUAAAACAAAGCAUUGUGAAGGAUCCAACUGUUGUUUAUGCAAUGUGAUUUCUGCCGAGUGCUCUGAAUGUCAAAGUGAAGAGAUUCAACCAAGCGCGGGUAAACGGCGGGAGUAACUAUGACUCUCUUAAGGUAGCCAAAUGCCUCGUCGUCUAAUUAGCGACGCGCAUGAAUGGAUCAACGAGGUUCCUACUGUCCCUAUCUACUAUCUAGCGAAACCACAGCCAAGGGAACGGGCUUGGGAGUAACGGCGGGGAAAGAAGACCCUGUUGAGCUUGACUCUAAUCUGUAUUGUGAGGUGACUCAAGGGAUGUAGAAUAGCGGGGAGUUUACACGACCCUGAAAUACCCGUUCCUUUGACGUCACUUUGCUUACUC